UGGGCAACCUGCCCUCAGCUCUGGGAUAACUCCGGGAAACCGGGGCUAAUACCGGAUAUGACCACUCCUGGCAUCUGGGGUGGUGGAAAGUUCUUCGGCUGAGGAUGGGCCCGCGGCCUAUCAGCUUGUUGGUGGGGUUACGGCCCACCAAGGCGACGACGGGUAGCCGGCCUGAGAGGGCGACCGGCCACACUGGGACUGAGACACGGCCCAGACUCCUACGGGAGGCA
RNAcentral lists this ribosomal RNA (230 nucleotides) under uncultured bacterium. Its description in RNAcentral is "partial 16S ribosomal RNA". It matches the Rfam family "Bacterial small subunit ribosomal RNA", at positions 118 to 350 of the family's 1533-position model. The record is from RNAcentral.